This 600-nucleotide ribosomal RNA is filed under the name Salmonella enterica subsp. enterica serovar Oranienburg. RNAcentral's name for it is "partial 23S ribosomal RNA". It matches the Rfam family "Bacterial large subunit ribosomal RNA", at positions 1 to 631 of the family's 2925-position model. The record is from RNAcentral. RNAcentral also lists the same sequence under 1 other name. Lineage: Bacteria; Pseudomonadati; Pseudomonadota; Gammaproteobacteria; Enterobacterales; Enterobacteriaceae.
GGGUUGUGAGGUUAAGCGACUAAGCGUACACGGUGGAUGCCCUGGCAGUCAGAGGCGAUGAAGGACGUGCUAAUCUGCGAUAAGCGCCGGUAAGGUGAUAUGAACCGUUAUAACCGGCGAUUUCCGAAUGGGGAAACCCAGUGUGACUCGUCACACUAUCAUUAACUGAAUCCAUAGGUUAAUGAGGCGAACCGGGGGAACUGAAACAUCUAAGUACCCCGAGGAAAAGAAAUCAACCGAGAUUCCCCCAGUAGCGGCGAGCGAACGGGGAGGAGCCCAGAGCCUGAAUCAGCAUGUGUGUUAGUGGAAGCGUCUGGAAAGGCGCGCGAUACAGGGUGACAGCCCCGUACACAAAAGCGCAUGUGCUGUGAGCUCGAUGAGUAGGGCGGGACACGUGGUAUCCUGUCUGAAUAUGGGGGGACCAUCCUCCAAGGCUAAAUACUCCUGACUGACCGAUAGUGAACCAGUACCGUGAGGGAAAGGCGAAAAGAACCCCGGCGAGGGGAGUGAAAAAGAACCUGAAACCGUGUACGUACAAGCAGUGGGAGCACCCUUUGGGGUGUGACUGCGUACCUUUUGUAUAAUGGGUCAGCGACUUAU